CUAGAUUGACCACUGCCUUUUAAAUGAUUUAAUAGUAUAAAAAGGGGCCUUGCUAAGUGAUUAGCACCAAUUAUACUUAUGAUACGUAUCUGUUUAAAAUAAUGUUUUCCUAUGCAUAUUUAAUUUUGCAUUGGAUUACACCCACUUUGAUCAGCUACACGUUCACACCCUCACAGUAUCCAAAAUCUUGAUUUUUGCUUUGCAAUCAUCAAUCAACUCAUGAUUUAUCAUAAAAUAUAUUUUCGACAAUUUUCUCGGCAUAUAGACUCGGCAACAGCGAAAGUUUUUGGGAAUGUGAAUUUCCUACUUCCAAUAAUUUUAUUGUCAAAAGAGGUAGGAUACUUUUAUGUGCAAGUGAUAUGUCCUUUCAAUAUUAUGAUUUUUAUGCGUGAUUUAUUUCAUGAAAUGCUAAUUGACCUGCGGGUCCCAAUGAAAUGAAAUGAAAUGUGAGAUCGCCUUCGGGCCUUCUCAAAUGUGCUAGAGCUUUCGACUGAUCACCGAUUGUUCUUGAUGAAAUGAUGGUAUGAAAUGUUAUGAAUUUACGUUUUAAAAGUUAUCAUAUUG
Molecule: long non-coding RNA, 564 nt
Filed under: Olea europaea (common olive)
Lineage: Eukaryota; Viridiplantae; Streptophyta; Magnoliopsida; Lamiales; Oleaceae
Description: long non-coding RNA (OEUR_LNC008756)
Source: RNAcentral